CCCGCCAGGGGCACCGCUGGGUAGCUAUGUGCGGAAGGGAUAAGCGCUGAAAGCAUCUAAGCGUGAAGCCCCCCUCAAGAUGAGAUUUCCCAUCGCGAAAAGCGAGUAAGAUCCCUUGAAGAUGACGAGGUAGAUAGGUCCGAGGUGGAAGCGUGGUGACACGUGGAGCUGACGGAUACUAAUCGAUCGAGGACUUAACCAAG
Molecule: ribosomal RNA, 203 nt
Filed under: Aeribacillus pallidus
Lineage: Bacteria; Bacillati; Bacillota; Bacilli; Caryophanales; Bacillaceae
Description: partial 23S ribosomal RNA
Rfam family: Bacterial large subunit ribosomal RNA
Source: RNAcentral